This 392-nucleotide ribosomal RNA is filed under the name uncultured bacterium. RNAcentral's name for it is "bacterial SSU rRNA". It matches the Rfam family "Bacterial small subunit ribosomal RNA", at positions 28 to 420 of the family's 1533-position model. The record is from RNAcentral.
GACGAACGCUGGCGGCGUGCUUAACACAUGCAAGUCGAGCGGUAAGGCCCUUUCGGGGGGUACACGAGCGGCGAACGGGUGAGUAACACGUGGGUGACCUGCCCUCAGCUCUGGGAUAAGCCUGGGAAACUGGGUCUAAUACUGGAUAUGACUCCACGGUGCAUGUCGUGGGGUGGAAAGCCUUGUGCGGCUGAGGAUGGGCCCGCGGCCUAUCAGCUUGUUGGUGGGGUGANGGCCUACCAAGGCGACGACGGGUAGCCGGCCUGAGAGGGCGACCGGCCACACUGGGACUGAGACACGGCCCAGACUCCUACGGGAGGCAGCAGUGGGGAAUCUUGCGCAAUGGGCGAAAGCCUGACGCAGCGACGCCGCGUGAGGGAUGACGGCCUCGG